AUGUUAGUCAGUGUCGGGAAUGUUUCCAAUGAAUAAUAUAUGGUGUGUUUAGUCGGAUGAUUUAAGAUCAGAUAUUUGGGAAAAUACUCGAACAAAGCCUAAUUGUGCGAUGAGAAGUUUUUCUGACAAGCAAAUGCAAAACAAAAUUAACUUUAACAACUUCUUUCCAAAGUCCAAAUAAUUGCAAACGACGGUUAGGUUUGCAUUGAUGAAUAUGCAGGCGUGUGACGAUACCAAACAGUGAAAAUAAGAGUGUGUUGCGAAAAUAAAGCAAUGCAUUGUUUGAACGAAAUAGAGAGAGUUGUUUGUGUUGAAGUUUUUAGACAAGCAAAUAAAGCCAAAUCAAGCCAAAGCCAAAGCUAAAAUUAAAAGUGAAAAAAACAAUUGGAAAUUAAUCAAACGCGAAGUAGUAAAUCAAUUAGCAAAGAGUGCGAGCUCGAAAAGUAUGCGUGGUGACAAAAUUGCGAAAUAUGCAAACGGGUAAAAUACUUUUCGGCAGUAAAAAUGCGAACGAUAUCAACUUAAUAGAAGUAGAGAAAAUGUUGCUGCAACAAUGUUGUCAAAAACGCAUUUAUCGGACGGAGCAUAGCAUAAUGCGGAAGGUGAACUUCGCGCUACGCAACUUUGCGCGUUUGUUUGCGAGUAGUGUGAGUGCAGGACGAUAGAUAAAUAAAAAUAAAAUAUCAUAAAUAAAAACUAACGAAAUAAAAAAAGGGGAAAAAAUCUUAAAUAAAAUAAUUAUAUGUUAGCUACCCGACUAAUGAUGGCUUUUUUGCAAUAUAUGUAUGUACAUACAUAUGUAUGUAUGGUUGAGUGUGCACGGUGAAGAGAUGGUUGGUCUUUAGUUCUUAACAAGCAAAUUUGAAAAUUGGGAUUAUUAAUAAUUUUAUAUAUAUCAAGAAAAUCGUUACCUAUAAACUUUAAUAAAACGCCUUAGUAAGUUAAAUUAAAAUACUUAAAAAAUGAAGAAUGUGGAAGAAUAUCCUCAAAUUAAUUUUUUGAAUGGAGUGCUUUUGAGCUCCUGAAAUCGGUAAAUGUAAUUUCUAGACGAUAUACACCUCAAAAGUGAAUUAUAUCGAAUUUUACGGUUUUGUUGUUUAAAAGUAUAUUUUAACUGCAAAUUAUUAAAAAAUACAUAAUUGACAAACAAUUUCUAGUUAAAUGUUUAGUCAAAAAAGUCUAUUCAAUACAUAUGUAUGUACAUAAAACUUUGCGAAAAAUUGAGAAAGUGCAAAAAGAAAAAGUUUUCGAGACAGCGAGAGGGAGUAUAAUAUCUGCUAAAUGUCAAUCGAACAACAACAGAUGCUUUCUUUCAUCACUUGUUACUUUAGUUGAACAAAGGCUUUAUACUAUACUGAUAGAGAACGGAUUAGAGAUAUCAAACAGAUCAAAUCAAUGGACGAGUGAUCGAUUGUGGCAAUUACAACUUCCGGCCGCAUUUCACAGAGAGAGCACCAGAACAUUUUGCUGUUCCACUUACACAUCAGUUUGGUGCUUGUAAGCCUAUUAUGAUUGAAGCAGAUGCAGACACAUACGAGUACUCAAAUUUAUGUGAACUUUGAAGUUCAGAAUGCGGCCCAGUCCUCUGCAACUUCAAUGUAAUCGUUGAUUUUGGAAAUAAACAUAAAUAUAGACUAAUUGUACAUGUUGAAUGUUGAAAGAAAUACUAGUGCGCACAGCUCACGGUGGAUGUGUUACACGCAUGCAGUAAUAUAGUAAGUACACUGCAUGCAAAAGAUCGUUCGGCGCAAACGCGAAGAGAAAAGAAAAUGCGUUUUAAGUGUCAAUAUGUUUGUGUUAUCGGUGCGAAAAUGAGCUUCGAACAAAGAGCCAACAUUAAAUUUUGUUUUAGAAUUGGUAAAACUUUUCCCGAAACGUUUCAAUUGAUGAAACAAGUUUAUGGCGAUGAUUGCCUAUUCCGUAGCAGAGUGAACGAGUGGUUUCAACGUUUUCAAAGUGGUCGUGAGGACAUAAAUGACGAUCAACAUGUGGGCCAAUCAAAAUCCGUGAUCACCGGAAAUUCCAUCCAAACUCUGCGUGAAUUCAUCAAAAAUCAGCCGAAAUUAUCAUUGAAAUUCAUGGAAAUGGAAUUGAACAUCUCCAAAACAUCGAUUUAUCGCAUUUUGACAACAUUUGGGCUUACGAAAAGUGUGUGCAUGGUUUGUUCCGCACAAGUUGACUGAUGGCCAAAAAUUGCUCUCAUCGAUCCACGCUUGUGACCGAUUAUUUGACCAAAACUCACAUUUUAACCAUUAACCACUUCCCGUAUUCACCUGAUAUGGCACCGUGUGACUUCUUCCUUUUCAAAAAAAUGCAUUUGCCCAUGAAAGGAAAGCGUUAUGCAGACGUAGAGGCCAUUCAAAAGGCUUGCACCGGCAUACUGGUGGCCAUACCGGCCAACGAGCUAAAACACUCGUUCGACAUGCUUUUGGACAAUGCAAAAAGCUGUAUUGAAGCAGAAGGAGACUAUCUUGAAUAAAAUAAAUUGAUUUGCCAAAAAAAAACAUUUUUUUGGUUUUUUUAAGUCCUGUUUACUUUGGAACGCACCUUGUAGAAUGCAAACACAGUGUGGAUGCAUGUUGUACGUUUGUGCCAAUUACACUAUAACCGCUUUUGUUCCUAUUUUGUUCUAUGAAUUUUCUUAUGAUGCAAGACACCCGAGAUACGAGCGGAGAUAAUGCAGUGGGUGGAUGGAUUGGUGAAUUGCGUUAAUUGAAUGGCUUGAGUGAUAGCUUCGUGGAGCGCGUAGUAGUUUGGUAGCAGAUGAAUUGUAUGGCGAAUUAACUGAAACAAAAAAAUAUAUAAGAAUUUCAUGCACAAAUGUUUAUCACAUAUUUAAUUACAACUGUAUUCUAAUCUGUGAUGUGUCAUCCAAGGGGUGCCAAACUGCUCUGCACCCAUGACAUCAUUAUUGCCAACUGAGUAAAUUUAUUUCACUUACAAGUGUGCCAGUGUUGGUAAUUGAGAUGUUUAUUAAAUUUAACUUCGAACUUGUUUUAUACUUUUACCAUCAUUUCACGAUAGUAAUUACGAAUCGUUAAACAAUAUUAUUAAAUAGAACAAAACCCGAACGAACGCCCACUAAGAGCUAUGAACGCUUACAAUAAUAUGGCAUCAUGUAAAAUUGCUAUAAGAUUAUACAAUAAAUCCUGGAAAUUGAUUACCAUCGUGAGGGAAAAAUAAUAUCUUUUGUUCAGCGAACACUGCCAUUUGUUUCUUUAUACUGGAAACAGCGCCAAAAACCGAAAAGUACAAUUUAGUAAUUUAAUAAAGGGAUUGUAACCAGUGUAGAUCACGCGCUGGUUUACUCAAAGCAAAUAAUGAUUUAACGUUUUUUUAAUUGAAGUCUCUUCAAUAUUCUCGAUAUCGAUCUUUUAAGGGGAUGUGACUUUUUUAUUAAAAUAUUAAUAAUAAAUAACAAUAAUGUCCUUUCUUUUAGAAACUGGUUGAAUCGGGCCAAUUCUUCCCUUAGCCGUCAUAUACCUUGUAAAAAGAUUGUCCGCAUUUGUUAUUCGAACUUCUUCAUGGUCGGGCAAUGGAACGUCUGCUCCGCUCUGCAGACUAGAGAAAAGUUCCUUCCACAAUUUUAGUAUGUUGUGGGCACCUUCUGUUAGUAGCCGUAGUUUUUCGUAGAAUUUUCGAGCAGUACCAGCUCGAGAAACAGCUGUCGGCCAGCUGUUUUCUCUCUACUGCGACCUGGCACUCCUCAUCGUACCAGCUGUUCUUUUGCAUUUUCCGAAAACCAAUGGUUUCGGUAGCAUCUUUGGUCUCUUACGUCGGGGCAUGAGCGCAAAUCAGCGAUAUGUUGAAGAUCUUUGCUUUGAUGCGGAUUGUGGCUAGACGUUCAUCCACCGGGGUGAAUGACAGUACUCAGCGACAGAGUCCUCUCAAGGACUUACUCACCUCAGUGCUUGUUCCAUCCAUCGCAUUUCUUGGACGGCGGUGAUGUCAGCCUAUACUCUAACAAAGAUAUAAACCAGCUGGGUAGCCGCACCUUCUCAAUUAAGAGACCGGACAUUCCAGGUGCAUGCCGUGGCUUUUUGUUCCUUUUAAUUGGGGGCGUUUUAUACGUGGAGGGUCCCAAACCCCGCGCACAACAAGGGGACGUUUCGCCGACUCACUUUAGCUCGCCUGCAAAUAUAUGUUCUUUGCUUACCCAGAGGAUACUUGGUCUAGGACCGUUUCUGGCAAUCAGAGAAUCUUUAGUUUUGCAUUGAUUAACUAGCUAAAGUUGUGCCAAAUAAGCUGAGCGACGACGCAAUUUAGCUUUACACGAACAUUCUCUCUUCUCAGCUGUGUGGCUAAUCGACCAAGAGCCUGCACGCUUGCCUGCUCAGCUGUAAAAUUUUCAAUUCCGUCAAUUGUGUUUAGUAACAAAGGUUGUCCGGUUCACUUCAUUCGACUUUAGAACAUUGUGUGCAGAUUGUUAGCAACUUCAACAAAUGUAACAGUGAUAUCGCGAACACACAUGCGCUAUUAGAGAAAUUAAAAACAAACUGUAUGCCGAAGGCACUACGCAAAAGGAGGCAGAGAGAGCAGAGGCAGUUCAGGCGAUGUUAUUAACUAACACUCUGGCGAGUGUGUGCAAUUUUGUAGUGAAACAAUUAGAAAUUAGUAUUUUAUUUCUAGGUAAAAAUAUUUGAUUAAUAGCUGAUAGCAUAGAGACGCAUUUUAAGUGCUUUGAUGAUCUAUAGAAUAUGAAUUCAGUUGAUAGAAGCUUGAAAAACGUUUAAUGAGUUUCUUUGUUUUGUUUUUGGUCUAGCUAUUAAUUAGUAGCUCCCACGCCUUUCCGUUUCGCGUUGAAAGCGAUAAACUCUUUGAUGAAAUGAAAUACUACUCAUUUAUAAACAUUGUUUUGCUGUGCAACUUUCAUAUGGGCGUUUACGUUUAAGGGCUUGGUGCCAACACCCGCGCAAAAAUCUUCGUUAAUUGGUACAUUUAUGUCCACUUGUGGCAUGUAAAGGCCACUUACACCCACGCAGCUUGAUCUUUGAACAUAUGUAUAUUUGUGAGUUGGGAGUGGGCGUGUGUUCACCCGCUGCAUUGCCACCACGCUGUCGGCCACAAAGUAGCCGCGCAAAUAUUUCGCCCCACUCUGCCAUAAAUCAUAAUUACAACAAUGUAUGACCGCAUGGUUAACGGCCAAAAUAUUUUUUGCCGUAUUUUCAUUCAAAAUUACGUAUAAGUAUUUACGUGUUUGACUAUGUACAUUUGCAUUUUAAAUGGACAAUCGCUGUUGUAAUGAAUGUUCGGUGCAUAUGCGAAAAUACGCGCCAGCUGGAAGCGGUGAUAUCUGUUCAUAGGUGCGAUGUUUUGCCUAUGGUGUGAAAGGGAGCUUGUGUUCCCUCACAUACGUCCUCUUAAUCCAUGAGUUUAUUCUAUGAUAAUGAAGGUCAGCACCCACCUUUAAAAGAUACGUAAUUUGGCAACUGAGAAAUGAGCACCGAGGAUAAUGAAGGCAGUGGACGCCAUAAAGAGGCAAAGUGGGUGCCGCGCAAGUUCGUAAUCCAACAAAAACAACGAAUUUGUGAUUGUGAGGAGUGUUUGAGCGCUCCGUACCGUCGGUAUGUGACAGCAGAAACAUGGCUUCAUCAUUUCACACUGGAGUCCAAGCGACAGUCAGCUAGUAGACUAAUCUUCAAGCGUGGAAAAACGAAAAGUCGGCUGGCAAGGUUAUGGCAUCAGGCACUUGAGAUACUAUUCAUCGACUGAUUACUGAGCCAAUUAUGAUCUAUUGCUGUGCGUAGUUGGUUAUUCUACCAUUCCCAAUAUUUAGGAAUUCUAUUAAUUUUUAGGACUAAUCAGUAUGAAAUUGUCCGCGCAAUGCUUCGAAAAAUAUAUCUCAAAUUAUAAUAGACCUUUUUAACUUACUUCGAAAAUAUUCAUUUAAAUCAUAUGCUGUAAAGGGCCAUAGAGACUUACAUAUAUUUAAAUCAACAAAGUAUUUAAGGUAUUUAAUUGGAUAAGGAUUAAUGCUGUAUUUGUUAAAAUUUACCAUUAUUUGUCGUAAAAAGUAAAUGACAAAAAAAGUUAUUGUGGGAUAUUCAUAAGAGAUAGACCAAUACCAUCGCGCAGUUUCCUCUAAGCCUUUUCAAUGUGUACAACACUUAGUAUAUUACUUUGAUAAAUCUCGUAGAGUUCAGCCUGCGUUUGCAAUAUGAGCGGAAAAAAUGUAAUUGUUUUCGAUAUCACAUUAGAAACCACAAAAAUACCAACAUUUCUUUAACAUUUAAUGGAUGUUAUUAUACAUAUAAACCAUUAUCUCCAAUCACUCUAUCUACUAAAAAACCCGCAUCAAAAUCCGUUGGGUAGUUUUAAAGAUUUAAGCAUACAUAGGGAUGUAAAGACAGAGAAAGCGCCUUGUUUUACGCUAUUUAGUGAUUAGCAAUCUAUCUAAAGCAAUCAAAAACUUUUAUAAAUAUUGUAUAAUAAUCAACAGAACUGAGUGUGCUCCAUUGAGACUAAUCAUAAUAUUCACCAAAAAACAUAGUUUGCUAAAAGUAUUCCUGAAACUACUUAAAAU
This is a long non-coding RNA of Bactrocera neohumeralis, 6523 nucleotides long. RefSeq lists it as uncharacterized. The record is from RefSeq and is a predicted model, not a curated record. The transcript has 3 exons. NCBI's taxonomy places the organism in Eukaryota, Metazoa, Arthropoda, Insecta, Diptera, Tephritidae.